Molecule: ribosomal RNA, 547 nt
Filed under: uncultured bacterium
Lineage: Bacteria
Description: partial 16S ribosomal RNA
Rfam family: Bacterial small subunit ribosomal RNA
Source: RNAcentral
UGGGGAAUUUUGGACAAUGGGCGAAAGCCUGAUCCAGCAAUGCCGCGUGUGUGAAGAAGGCCUUCGGGUUGUAAAGCACUUUUGUCCGGAAAGAAAUCCUUGGCUCUAAUACAGUCGGGAGAUGACGGUACCGGAAGAAUAAGCACCGGCUAACUACGUGCCAGCAGCCGCGGUAAUACGUAGGGUGCAAGCGUUAAUCGGAAUUACUGGGCGUAAAGCGUGCGCAGGCGGUUUGCUAAGACCGAUGUGAAAUCCCCGGGCUCAACCUGGGAACUGCAUUGGUGACUGGCAGGCUAGAGUAUGGCAGAGGGGGGUAGAAUUCCACGUGUAGCAGUGAAAUGCGUAGAGAUGUGGAGGAAUACCGAUGGCGAAGGCAGCCCCCUGGGCCAAUACUGACGCUCAUGCACGAAAGCGUGGGGAGCAAACAGGAUUAGAUACCCUGGUAGUCCACGCCCUAAACGAUGUCAACUAGUUGUUGGGGAUUCAUUUCCUUAGUAACGUAGCUAACGCGUGAAGUUGACCGCCUGGGGAGUACGGUCGCAAGAUU